This 429-nucleotide ribosomal RNA is filed under the name Pseudomonadota bacterium. Its description in RNAcentral is "Proteobacteria bacterium partial 16S ribosomal RNA". It matches the Rfam family "Bacterial small subunit ribosomal RNA", at positions 355 to 776 of the family's 1533-position model. The record is from RNAcentral. Lineage: Bacteria; Pseudomonadati; Pseudomonadota.
UGGGGAAUAUUGGACAAUGGGCGAAAGCCUGAUCCAGCCAUGCCGCGUGUGUGAAGAAGGUCUUCGGAUUGUAAAGCACUUUAAGUUGGGAGGAAGGGCAGUAAGCGAAUACCUUGCUGUUUUGACGUUACCGACAGAAUAAGCACCGGCUAACUCUGUGCCAGCAGCCGCGGUAAUACAGAGGGUGCAAGCGUUAAUCGGAAUUACUGGGCGUAAAGCGCGCGUAGGUGGUUCGUUAAGUUGAAUGUGAAAGCCCCGGGCUCAAGCUGGGAACUGCAUCCAAAACUGGCGAGCUAGAGUAGGGCAGAGGGUGGUGGAAUUUCCUGUGUAGCGGUGCAAUGCGUAGAUAUAGGAAGGAACACCAGUGGCGAAGGCGACCACCUGGGCUCAUACUGAAACUGAGGUGCGAAAGCGUGGGGAGCAAACAGG